RNAcentral lists this ribosomal RNA (224 nucleotides) under uncultured bacterium. RNAcentral describes it as "partial 16S ribosomal RNA". It matches the Rfam family "Bacterial small subunit ribosomal RNA", at positions 15 to 228 of the family's 1533-position model. The record is from RNAcentral.
GAUCAUGGCUCAGGAUGAACGCUAGCUACAGGCUUAACACAUGCAAGUCGAGGGGCAGCAUGGUCUUAGCUUGCUAAGGCUGAUGGCGACCGGCGCACGGGUGAGUAACACGUAUCCAACCUGCCGUCUACUCUUGGCCAGCCUUCUGAAAGGAAGAUUAAUCCAGGAUGGCAUCAUGAGUUCACAUGUCCGCAUGAAUUAAGGUUAUUUUCCGGAGACGUAGG